UUUCCAGAACCCGCUACUCUUUUUCACAAGUUUUCAUUUCAUUUCACUCAAUUUCAGAUUCAGAUGAGUAACGAAAAAGAUGAUUCAGUAACGUCGUUCAAUCUUUGUUUGUUCGUUCGUUCAACCUAAGCUUCAAUCUUCGUUCAGAUUCAAUAUUCGUUUUCACCCUAAGCUAUUCAAUCUUCGUUCUUAUUCAGUCAUGGUCGUUCUUCGUUCUUCAACCUAAGCUUCAGAUUCAAACUCGUUUGUUCAAUGUAAGCUUCAAAUUCUCCUCAGAUUCUUCCUUCAGCUUCAAUUGACCUUCAUUCAACCUUCAAAAUCACCUUCAGGUACAUAACUUUAUAAAUUGCAACUCAAAGGGCCUUCUUUCUACAGGCAAUCAAAGCAAAGGGCAGUGACUUCCUUGAAGCUCCUGUUUCGGGUAGCAAGAAGCGGCAGAAGAUGGCCAACUAGUAAUACUUGCUGCUGACGACAAGGCAUUAUGUUAAGAACCACUUCCAGCAUUUGAUGUACUUCCAACAUUGAAGGCCUUUGAGUUAGAAUAUAUGGGAAAGCUUGUUAAGACACUUUUCAUUGAGACACCUUUUACUUUCUCUACUGGUGAAGAUCUACACCUCAGAUUUCACUAGUGAAGGAGAUUAUUUCUAAACAUGCAAUUAAGUUUGCCAAAUAUGCAGAAGAACAUGAAAAGUUAAUCAACAAGGUUUCUUUUCAUUUUUCCACUUCUAAUUGCUGCUCAUGCUUCAGGAUCAGGAUUUUUGCUAUUUGUAUUUUUGUUGUCUUAUGGCCUAAUAUAUUAGUGUACUGUUUGCUUUAUUUGUAAAUUAUCAAAUAUGGAUUAGUCACUUUAGGUGCUAAAAUGUAAUUAUUGCGUGUGCAAUAUGUAAAAACAAUACAUAUAUUUCCCAAAGUGAUAUGAAACUAGAUCAUUUGUCCAA
Molecule: long non-coding RNA, 938 nt
Organism: Trifolium pratense (red clover)
Lineage: Eukaryota; Viridiplantae; Streptophyta; Magnoliopsida; Fabales; Fabaceae
Exons: 4
Source: RefSeq, a predicted model, not a curated record